Molecule: ribosomal RNA, 503 nt
Filed under: uncultured bacterium
Lineage: Bacteria
Description: partial 16S ribosomal RNA
Rfam family: Bacterial small subunit ribosomal RNA
Source: RNAcentral
GACGAACGCUGGCGGCGUGCUUAACACAUGCAAGUCGAACGGUGAAGCGCUUUCCUUUUUGGUUGGUGUAGAUGAGUGGCGAACGGGUGAGUAACACGUGAGUAACCUGCCCCCUUCUUCUGGAUAACCGCAUGAAAGUGUGGCUAAUACGGGAUAUUCUGCGCCUGCUGCAUGGUGGGUGUGGGAAAGAUUGUGCCUUUGGGUGUUUUCGGUGGGGGAUGGGCUCGCGGCCUAUCAGCUUGUUGGUGGGGUGAUGGCCUACCAAGGCGGUGACGGGUAGCCGGCCUGAGAGGGUGGACGGUCACACUGGGACUGAGACACGGCCCAGACUCCUACGGGAGGCAGCAGUGGGGAAUAUUGCACAAUGGGCGCAAGCCUGAUGCAGCGACGCCGCGUGAGGGAGGGAGGCCUUCGGGUUGUGAACCUCUUUCGCCAGUGAAGCAGGCCUGCUCCUUGUGGGUGGGUUGACGGUAGCUGGAUAAGAAGCGCCGGCUAACUACGUG